UAUGCCCAGCUCCAAGCUAAAGAAAGUGGUGGCCUACCAUCUGCCCAAACACUAGCGUUAGUAGCAUGACAAGAAAAUCUUCAUUUUAGAGACUUUUAGCAAAGGAGCACAAUCAAGUGUCUCCAAGCAAGUUGAAUAUGACAGAUAUGCACACAUAUGCAGCGUAAAACAAUCACAUUUAAGUCAAACUAUCAACGUUAGUGUAGAUAAGAAGCAGAGUGAUCAUUUACCUAUCAUUGUUGCAUGCUAUUAGCCUUUAGUUGUCAUUGUUACUUCUUUGGUUUGGCCUAGCAGGAAAACUGGAAACAUUGUCCGAAGCAUGAAGAUAGAGCUAACUCAGUUCAAUCUGGUGACGAGACUCCCGAAGAUCCAAUGGAGCAUGUAUUUGACAUUCAAUGGUGAGAAGAAGAUCUAUGCUGGUUCUUCAGUUACAAUGGCAGCUCUCCUUCUUCUUCUCAUGGCUUUUAUCCCGAAGCAUGGCCUGCCAAAAGCACAAAAGCUCCUAAACUUUGUGGUGCCCGGAUGUGUGCCAAAGUCAUUGUGGUUUUUAGAGAAAUACUUUCUUAAUUAUAAUGACAAAACAGAAAUUCAUUUUACUGUCCAAGAUGUACAAACUACCUCAGUGUUGAACCAGGUAAUGAGUGUGGGGUGUGCCAGCAGAGUUUGAACAUAUUGCCAAUUUCCAAUUAAAGCUAUGGUAAGCAUUUCACAAGAGAUGCCUCCAUUUCUGAUAUCAACACUGGAAGUGAAUACAGACGUGAGGCUCAGGAAGUCAACACUGACAGUAUUACUCUAACCUUUAAUUGUGAUGGCGCCCCUGUGUUCAAUUCAUCAAAAACUUCAAUUUGGCCCAUCUUGUGUACUAUCGAUGAAUUACCAUUUCUGGAUAGAUGUAAAAAUGUUCUAUUGCAUACAUUAUGGUUUGGCAAAGGGAAACCCAAGGUUCGAAGUUACUUCACCCCAUUCAUCCAUGAACUUCAAAAACUGAGGGACACAGGAUUUUAUUGGAAAGAGGAUAAUGGAUUAGAAGAACAUCACACCAGAGCAACAGCUAAAAUAUGUAUUUGUGAUGCAGUAGUAAGGGCAAUGGUACAGAACUUUAAACAGUUCAAUGGAUGUGGUUUUUGCUACCACAAAGGGGCGGUGGUACCAAAAGGCAGAGGUUUUACUAGAGUUUAUCCUGUACAGAUAGUUGGAUGUGAACUGAGAUAAAUGGCUGAAACUGUACAACUUGCCAAGUUAGUGAUGGAAAACGGUGAUGACAAAGCUCAAAGGGGUGUUAAAGGACCAAGUCCACUGAUCCUGUUGCCAUCAUUUGACCUUAUCAAAGGCUUUAUACCAGCCUACAUGAAUUGUUUUUGUCGUGGUGUAGUGCGCCAAUUUGUUAAUCUUUGGUUUGACCCUCAUUAUGCUAACAAGGACUUUCACUUGACUCGUCUUCAGUUAGAUGACCUGGACAAAGCUUUGUGUAAGAUUCAGCCACCAAAUGAAAUUAGAAGAAAUCCUAGGCGCUUAAGUGAGAGGAUACAUUUGAAAGCUUCUGAGUGGAGGGCAUUUGUUCUUCUCUAUUCCCCUGUAAUAUUAAGGACUGUUUUACCAGGACUUUACUACAAACAUUGGAUGCUUCGUGCAUGUGCGGUUCACAUCCUCCUAUCCCAGUUUGCCACUCACGAUGAGCUCAAUUGUGCAGAGUUAUGUCUUGUUCAAUUUGUAGCGAAAGAACCAGAUCGUUAUGGACCUGAACAUUUAUCAUAUAACUGCCAUAUGUUGACACAUCUUACCCAGAGUGCCAGGGACUGGGGUCUUUUAUGGGCCAAUUCAGCAUUUGUGUUUGAAGACAUGAAUGGCAAACUCUUGCAGCUGUACUCUGGCACACAAUCAGUUUCAUCACAGAUUUCUAAGAAUUGUUUUUCAUACCAGAAAGUUGUUAGAAAAGGAAAUGCUUUAGUCCAGGAUCAAGCAGAGAAGUACAAGAUUUUGUAUUUUCCCUGACCAGUUGUAACAUUGUUACGAAGUCAGCAAACUGCAUAAGGGAACAUUUAGUCACUUUAGGAUGGGCUCUCACAGACUGUUAAAUGUGAGGGAGAUUGCUGCACUGCAAAACAGUUGUACACCUACAAGGUACCAACAUCAUAAUAGUGUAACUGGAUAUAAGCAUUUUAAAAAAACACAAUUUAGUCACCACCAGAGACUACAGUAUGAAUUUCAAAAUAAAUAAUUCAGUAAUAGAAACCUCAAAUUGCUUUGGUAUGGUAGAGUCCUUGGUUGUUGUACCAACACCCUGCAACUGUGAAAGAGGUGCAAACUGUUGUUGCAGAGAACUUCUUGUUUUCUACAAGCCAUUGCAGCAGGAGCACAUACAGCCAGCUAUCUAUGAUGCAGAGAUCCAUACUAACAUUGCAAAAUUUCUUGUAAAGAUCUCCAAUGAAUUGUGUGUAUUGACAUGUGAGGACAUAGUAGCUAAAUGUAUUGUAAUUGAACAUGGGGGUAAGUUAUAUGUGAUGAAAAUGCCUGUGUUUAAGACAAAUUAAAUGUUUGGGGGUUAGCACAAACUGUUGAGUCUCAAUUUGCCUCCAGAUGUCCACACGGUAUUUGUGAUGAUUUAAAUGUGUUUUUCUUUAUGCUAUUAUUGUUUUUUUUAUAGGACUAUUGUACCAAUUGGAUAAAUGACCAGUUACCAUUUUAGGAAAAACUGAAUUUAUGAUGGCAGAUGUCUUGUAUUGUAUAUUGUUAUAUUGAAUACAUUUUGUAAUCCUCUUUGUUGUUAUCUAAACUCAAUGUUUGAUCGUUAACUGUAUUUUCUAAUGCAUGUGUGUUUGUGUCUGUGACUGGGUAAAUCUGUAUGGAUAUUUCUAAAUAUGUGAGUAAAACGCCACAUUGAAGUGCU
Notothenia coriiceps (black rockcod) is the source of this 2887-nucleotide long non-coding RNA. RefSeq lists it as uncharacterized. The transcript is spliced from 3 exons. NCBI's taxonomy places the organism in Eukaryota, Metazoa, Chordata, Actinopteri, Perciformes, Nototheniidae. The record is from RefSeq and is a predicted model, not a curated record.